Molecule: ribosomal RNA, 309 nt
Filed under: uncultured bacterium
Lineage: Bacteria
Description: bacterial SSU rRNA
Rfam family: Bacterial small subunit ribosomal RNA
Source: RNAcentral
CCUACGGGAGGCAGCAGUGGGGAAUAUUGCGCAAUGGGGGCAACCCUGACGCAACGAACGCCGUGUGAGGGAAGAAGGAUUCGGGUCGUAAACCUCUGUCGGGAAGGAAGAACCUCCUGGGUCCGAAUAGGGUCGGGACUGACGGUACUUCCAAAGGAAGCACCGGCUAACUCCGUGCCAGCAGCCGCGGUAAUACGGAGGGUGCAAGCGUUAAUCGGAAUCACUGGGCGUAAAGCGCGUGUAGGCGGCUUUUUAAGUCUACGUAAAAACCCUCGGCUCAACCGCGGAAUUGCGUUCGAUACUGGGAGG